Molecule: ribosomal RNA, 255 nt
Filed under: uncultured bacterium
Lineage: Bacteria
Description: partial 16S ribosomal RNA
Rfam family: Bacterial small subunit ribosomal RNA
Source: RNAcentral
UACGUAGGGACCGAGCGUUGUCCGGAAUCAUUGGGCGUAAAGAGCUCGUAGGCGGCUUGUCACGUCGACUGUGAAAACCCGGGGCUCAACUCCGGGCCUGCAGUCGAUACGGGCUGGCUUGAGUGCGGUAGGGGGAGACUGGAAUUCCUGGUGUAGCGGUGAAAAUGCGCAGAUAUCAGGAGGAACACCGGUGGCGAAGGCGGGUCUCUGGGCCGUAACUGACGCUGAGGAGCGAAAGCGUGGGGAGCGAACAGG